Molecule: unclassified non-coding RNA, 419 nt
Filed under: plant metagenome
Description: partial contains 5.8S ribosomal RNA, internal transcribed spacer 2, and large subunit ribosomal RNA
Source: RNAcentral
GAGUGACGACCGAAGUCAUCCUGACCAUCACCCCGCAUAUUGUGCAGCCCAUGCGUCCACCCGGGCUGCAAACUCAAGCGUUUUGGUCUGGCACCGAGUCAGUCUAUGCAACGAGCCCGUUGUUUCAGAGUCCUAUGAAGAAGAUCUCCGUUCCCGGGGGGGCACUCAGCAGCAGCGAUCCGCAGGGCUCGCCGAGGCAGGUUGCGGCGGUGCCUGGCGACAGCUUGGCCGCAGAAUCGCGCAAAUUGAUGCCGUACCUUUCUGUGCUGCCGGCCGAUGCCGCCGUCUCGGUUGGCAAGGAGUUUAGGGUCGAUGUCUUUGCGCGGAGGGCGAAAGCCAUCACCGGGGAGACCCUCAAAUUGGCGUUUGACCCACAAGUGAUGGAGUUCCGGGAAGCUGCUGGAGGGGAAUUGUUGGGU